CGGCUCAGUAACACGUGGAUAACCUGCCCUUGGGUCCGGCAUAACCCCGGGAAACUGGGGAUAAUUCCGGAUAACGCACAUAUGCUGGAAUGCUUUAUGCGUCAAAUGGAUUCGUCCGCCCAAGGAUGGGUCUGCGGCCUAUCAGGUAGUAGUGGGUGUAAUGUACCUACUAGCCUACGACGGGUACGGGUUGUGAGAGCAAGAGCCCGGAGAUGGAUUCUGAGACAUGAAUCCAGGCCCUACGGGGCGCAGCAGGCGCGAAAACUUUACAAUGCGGGAAACCGUGAUAAGGGGACACCGAGUGCCAGCAUCAUAUGCUGGCUGUCCGGGUGUGUAAAAUACACCUGUUAGCAAGGGCCGGGCAAGACCGGUGCCAGCCGCCGCGGUAACACCGGCGGCCCGAGUGGUGAUCGUGAUUAUUGGGUCUAAAGGGUCCGUAGCCGGUUUGGUCAGUCCUCCGGGAAAUCUGACGGCUCAACCGUUAGGCUUUCGGGGGAUACUGCCAGACUUGGAACCGGGAGAGGUAAGAGGUACUACAGGGGUAGGAGUGAAAUCUUGUAAUCCCUGUGGGACCACCUGUGGCGAAGGCGUCUUACCAGAACGGGUUCGACGGUGAGGGACGAAAGCUGGGGGCACGAACCGGAUU
Molecule: ribosomal RNA, 646 nt
Filed under: uncultured Methanosarcina sp.
Lineage: Archaea; Methanobacteriati; Methanobacteriota; Methanomicrobia; Methanosarcinales; Methanosarcinaceae
Description: bacterial SSU rRNA
Rfam family: Archaeal small subunit ribosomal RNA
Source: RNAcentral